This 510-nucleotide ribosomal RNA is filed under the name [Sporobolomyces] sp. 'nakasei'. RNAcentral describes it as "LSU rRNA". It matches the Rfam family "Eukaryotic large subunit ribosomal RNA", at positions 63 to 602 of the family's 3401-position model. The record is from RNAcentral. Lineage: Eukaryota; Fungi; Basidiomycota; Microbotryomycetes; Sporidiobolales; Sporidiobolaceae.
AACUAACAAGGAUUCCCCUAGUAGCGGCGAGCGAAGCGGGAAAAGCUCAAAUUUGUAAUCUGGCGUCUUCGACGUCCGAGUUGUAAUCUCGAGAAGUGUUUUCCGUGAUAGACCGCAUACAAGUCUCUUGGAACAGAGCGUCAUAGUGGUGAGAACCCAGUACACGAUGCGGAUGCCUAUUACUUUGUGAUACACUUUCGAAGAGUCGAGUUGUUUGGGAAUGCAGCUCAAAUUGGGUGGUAAAUUCCAUCUAAAGCUAAAUAUUGGCGAGAGACCGAUAGCGAACAAGUACCGUGAGGGAAAGAUGAAAAGCACUUUGGAAAGAGAGUUAACAGUACGUGAAAUUGUUGGAAGGGAAACACAUGCAGUGAUACUUGCUAUUCGGGGCAACUCGAUUGGCAGGCCCGCAUCAGUUUUACGGGGCGGAAAAGCAUAGAGAGAAGGUAGCAGUUUCGGCUGUGUUAUAGCUCUUUAUUGGAUUCGCCCUGGGGGAUUGAGGAACGCAGCGUG